Molecule: ribosomal RNA, 223 nt
Filed under: uncultured bacterium
Lineage: Bacteria
Description: partial 16S ribosomal RNA
Rfam family: Bacterial small subunit ribosomal RNA
Source: RNAcentral
CGUAGGUAACCUGCCUUGUAGCGGGGGAUAACUAUUGGAAACGAUAGCUAAUACCGCAUAACAAUAGGUGACACAUGUCAUUUAUUUGAAAGGGGCAAUUGCUCCACUACAAGAUGGACCUGCGUUGUAUUAGCUAGUAGGUGAGGUAACGGCUCACCUAGGCGACGAUACAUAGCCGACCUGAGAGGGUGAUCGGCCACACUGGGACUGAGACACGGCCCAG